This 411-nucleotide ribosomal RNA is filed under the name Bacillota bacterium. Its description in RNAcentral is "Firmicutes bacterium partial 16S ribosomal RNA". It matches the Rfam family "Bacterial small subunit ribosomal RNA", at positions 355 to 776 of the family's 1533-position model. Lineage: Bacteria; Bacillati; Bacillota. The record is from RNAcentral.
UGGGGAAUAUUGCGCAAUGGGCGAAAGCCUGACGCAGCAACGCCGCGUGCGGGAUGACGGCCUUCGGGUUGUAAACCGCUUUCAGCAGGGACGAAGGGUUACCUUGACGGUACCUGCAGAAGAAGCACCGGCUAACUACGUGCCAGCAGCCGCGGUGAUACGUAGGGUGCGAGCGUUGUCCGGAAUUAUUGGGCGUAAAGAGCUUGUAGGCGGUCUGUUGCGUCGGAAGUGAAAACUCAGGGCUUAACCCUGAGCCUGCUUUCGAUACGGGCAGACUUGGGGGAGGUAGGGGAGAACGGAAUUCCUGGUGGAGCGGUGGAAUGCGCAGAUAUCAGGAGGAACACCAGUGGCGAAGGCGGUUCUCUGGACAUUUCCUGACGCUGAGGAGCGAAAGCGUGGGGAGCAAACAGG